Molecule: long non-coding RNA, 4699 nt
Filed under: Glycine max (soybean)
Lineage: Eukaryota; Viridiplantae; Streptophyta; Magnoliopsida; Fabales; Fabaceae
Description: long non-coding RNA (GMAX_LNC000349)
Source: RNAcentral
UGGGUUUUUAGAAUAUUUUAAUUUUAUUCAUUUUUUAUUUUCAAAAUUUAAUUAGGAUUUAAGAUAAUAGUAAUUUUCUUCAAUUAAUUAUAUUUUUACCAUCAUCAUCUAAUCUUUAAUUAUUUUAUGCAUUUAUCAAUGACAAAAACAUACUAUAAGCUUUAAAUAAAAUGUAAGAUCCAUAAAAUUUUGUAAUUUUAAUAAAUUUUAUAAAGAAUGUGUUGCUAACAUUUAUUUUGUUAGUGCAGCUAGGAAUACAUAUGAAGAUUUUUAUUUGACACUAAAUUAAAGACCAACCUGUUUUGAAAUAAAGUGAUACAUCCAAUUGUAAUCCAUGAUCAAAUCCCAAAUUUUGAUUAAGGUAUUAAGUGUCAAAUGAUUUAUGUCAACAAUUUUUUAUUUGCUAACAUUUAUUUUAGGAUUAAUAUACGUUUGCUAUUGUAAUUUACUUGAUUUUUGGUUUUAGUCCUUUAUUUUAUUUUGAAAAUCAUCCCCAAAAUUGAUUUUUUUUAAAAUUAAUCCCGGAAAUCACUUAUGUGAUUAACAAUUAUAAACAUCAACAAGUGUUACAUUAGCAAAAUGUCAUAAGUGUCAUGUUAGCUAAAAAAUAUUAUGUGAGAAAAAAUGUCACAUUAUUUAAGACUAAAAAAGAUAAUUUACUAGGAUUAACAAUAAAAAUAAAUUUAUAUAUAUGAUUUAUAAAGAUAACGACAUUAACAAGAAUAGAAAUGAGAGUUAAAAUUUAAAUAGAGCUCUUGCAAUGUAAAUUCUCUUAAAAGAAAUAAAUUGAAUUGUUCGAACAUUUGAUGGGAUAAAAUUAUUGGAUCAAAAGAAUUACUUUCAAAUUAUCGAGACUGAAAGACAUGAAUAGUAAAAUUAUGAAUAAAUAAUUCUAAAAUAAUAAUAAUAAAUACCGAGAGUGUAUUAUUUAGAGUAACGGGACAGUUAUUAACUAUUCAUAUGAUUUACUUAUCUUUACUUAUAGAGAGCCCCUGAUCAUUUAAUUAACGUUUCUUAUUCCCAUGCUUCAUCAAGAAAUAAAUAAAUUUCUAGGCAACUCUAUGGUAGUUUGGUAGUUUAACAAGGACAGAGAGAUUUCUCUGUUGAGAGUUCAUGCUUCACAGCAUCUAUUUUAAGAGAGUUUAGCUUAGCUAACCUCUUCUCCUGAAUACUGACUAGUGACUAUACUACAUCAUAUGCUUUCUGUGAGAUAUAAAUAUUAAACUCACCUAUUGAUAUCCCUUCUUGAGGACUCCUUAAACUGAGUUACAAGAGAACAUAUAAGCACAAUAUAUAUAUAUAUAUAUAUAUAUAUAUAUAUAUAUAUAUAUAUAUAUAUAUAUAUAUAUAUAUAUAUAUAUAUAUAUAUAUAUAUUGUAUUUUUAUAAAAAUUUUUCACACACAAGAAUAAAUAUAUAAAUCUCUCUCUUAUGUUUAUACAUGAAUAAUNNNNNNNNNNNNNNNNNNNNNNNNNNNNNNNNNNNNNNNNNNNNNNNNNNNNNNNNNNNNNNNNNNNNNNNNNNNNNNNNNNNNNNNNNNNNNNNNNNNNUCUCUCUCUCUCUCUCACACACACACUCACACACUCACUCACUCUCUCUCUCUCUCUCUCACACACGCACGCGCGCGCGCGCGCGCGCGCGCUCUCACUCUGAAUGAGAUAUUUAUUAUUUUUUUAUUUUUUUUUAUUUAUAUAUAUAUAUAUAUAUAUAUAUAAAUAUAUAUUUUUUUUUUUUUUUAGUGUGAGAGAGAGAGAAAAAAUAUAUAUAUAUAUAUAUAUAUAUAUAUAUAUAUAUAUAUAUAUAUAUAUAUAUAUAUAUAUAUAUAUUGUAUCUUUAUAAAAAUAUUUCUCACACAAGAUUAAGAAUAUUAAACUUAAUCUUAUGAUUAUACAUGAAUAAUUAAUGAUCACUUAAAGAAGUUAGGUAACUUAUUAAUGUUACGCGUUGAUUGAGCGCCUAAGUGGUAUUAGGCUUGGUUACAUGAUUCAGAUUGUGACAUCCUUGAUGAAUGGGUGAACUAAGUUGUCUCGACAAGAGAGAGAAACAUGUAUGGAGAAGAGAGAAAAACUUGGGAGAGUCAGGAUGACCACAAAGAUGGGGUAAUCCAGUUGACAAUCAAAAUCUGUCAACAUCAAAGGCAUGCUAGCAUGAUGGACAACAAAUUUGUUUCUACUUCAAAACAUGAUGGGAGUAAAUAAAAAAUAAGAACCCAUUAGAAAGCAACUGUUAAAUGCAAACCUCACUUUCAUCGAUACGGUCAGGUUUUUUUUUUUUUUCUUGAUGAAACUAUCCCUUCUCAAUCACUACAUGUUCAAGCUUCAAUUUGCUGGAAGCUCUUUUCAACAUGCAACCUUAUAAAUAGACUUUUUCAUGUCCAUCUCAAUAUAAAUGAUCCACAAGUCACACUAGAUUGAGGGCAAUAUACAAUAUUGCUAAGUACCUCUAUAGAUUGAGCAGUUGAGAGCCUAUAAACAUGGACAGGUUUUGUCUGUGGCAUCUAUCCAUGACUUGUAAAUCCAUUUGAGGAUUAUGGAAUUCAAACAAAAAAGAUUAUAAAUUAAACAUUGUAGAGCAAAUAGAUAAGAUGUGAAACAAUGAAAAUGGCAAAAAAUACCAAGUCAUUGUCAGAAAGAAUGCAAGUAUCACCUAGAGAGAGGUUAAUUCCCUCCCAAUCCCCAGUCCUAGUAGUAAGAAGAAAAACUCUACCAUUUCUAUUUACAUCAUUGAAGUCCUAGAUCUGUUCAUGAGCAGAAAAGUUACCCAUGAACUAGACUUAAAUUUAGCCACUUCAAUCUGCGAUUAGUGAUUAAGAACAACAUUUACAAAUACAACAUCAAAUGAUAACACAAGUAUAUUGCAAUUAGCAUUCAUGUUCAAAACAGGCUUAAAGCUUCUUAAUCUACUAAUAGUAUGCUAACUAAAAUGGAAAUGGCCAAUAAUACUUUAGUUUUAAUGAAAUAAUUUAUGCAUAUAAAUAAUGCAUAAAAGAAGACAACGGAGAAAGCCUGUCGUUUAUAUAUUUAAGAUAUGAUUACCCAACAACUAUAAUAAUAUCUUGGUUAUCUAGGAUACAUGUGUAAUCUUCAAAAAGAAAGUGCUUUUAUGAUAUAGCAUUUUGUUCAGAAACUACUCUUUAUAGCUUUCAAGAAAAAGACAACUUUUCUUCUGGAAUUUUCUUUUUCUUCCUAAAAUUGUAUCUAUCAUAAAAAUUCUAAACAUCUUUUCAAUAAGCAAAGCACUUAAAAAAAAGCACAACCAAAUAUUCACUUAAAAAGACAAAACAUAGACGUGUUAUUCAUGCAUUAGUACAAACCAAUUGAAGAAGCUAAAGACUAUGCAAUAUAAAAUAUUUAAUGCCUAAAACAAAAUUGGGUUGAUAAUUAAAAAUACAUAACAAAGAAACAAAUAAGAACCUGUUAUUAUUUGUUGCUCCAUGUUGCAUAAAAUAAAAACAUAAUACCAUGUUAUUAUUAUUGAAUUGCAAACAAGAAAAUUAGAUAUCAUAUUCAAUUUUCUUUCAAAUCAAAACAAUAAAAGAAAUCAAGAAACUAGGAAGUAAAAAAUUAAAUAAUUCCCAACUUAAAAAAGAAUUCAACAAGCUAUAAUAUAGGGUCUCGAAAAAUCUAGCCUACCUUGCUGCUACCAACCAUAUAGCUAUAAAAAUAACUAAGCUUGUUCUUUAUUGCUGCCAUGCUUGUGCACCACUCUUCAAAAGUUAUUUAUAAAGAGUAAACCAUGAUACCUAGUUCGAUUCCAACAAAUAAAAAGUUAUAUGCAAAAAGAGAGAAAUAUGCACACAUUAUAUAUGCACCUUACAAUAAUCCCUUCUCUUUCUCUAAUUCAUUAAGCUGAUUUCCUGAUUCAUUCAGUGAGAAUUAAUUAAUUGAUUUAUAAUUAAUUAGAGGUUGUUACAUGCAGUGCACCUUACCUUUUUUGGUAACCAUGUUUGGCGUAUGGAGUCUCUUCGCCUUUUGCUGCUAAAGGUUGUGUUACCAAUUACCACAAUCUGUGCACUGUGGUUAGAAGACUGUUGCAGCACUCCAAUUUGGCUUCGUCGACCUGCUUUUAGUUCCAUUUCCAAUGUCAAAACUGCCUUAUCCAGUUACCUAUUUUUAUUAUUUGUGCACAAACAAACAUUAAUACAACACAAAACAUCAAAACUUAUGUCACCAGGUCUGCCUUCAAUCAGUUUCUGUUUGGAAGAAUAGAAAUUUAAUUUUUCACAUACUUUGGAAUAAAAAUGCACUACAAUUUAUAUGUACAUGUACUCUCUCGCUUAUGAUCACAGUCAGGUCUGAGUGGUAGUAGUGUAUUUUCAGGUCUGGGUGGUACAUACUUUGGAACCUGCCUUUCCCCUCAUCUUUUCUAUCUCAAUGCCGUGCCAGUAAUGCGACUUUCAACUCAUCAUAGCCAUGAAAUUAAGAUGGGUCUCGAGCAUAUCAUGUGAGCAGGAGUGGAAUGUUCAUUGUAAAAAACAAUCAAUGCGUGAAGCAAAGUGUUUAUAUUGCUCUAUAAAUGCUAUUAUAGUUAUAUACAAAAAAUUUCCCUACCUCGGCUUAACCUCGAUGGUUUAAUUUUGUUAUAUUAUUGGCAUUAGAAGCACAAAGAUUUGAUGCAAAUUUACUAAUAUGAUUAGAAACAACAUGAUCAAAUCAAAGAGAGUGAAUAGUUUGUAAUUUCUCUUUUCUCCUGAUCAAGGA